This 414-nucleotide ribosomal RNA is filed under the name uncultured Funneliformis. RNAcentral's name for it is "partial 28S ribosomal RNA". Lineage: Eukaryota; Fungi; Glomeromycota; Glomeromycetes; Glomerales; Glomeraceae. The record is from RNAcentral.
GAGAGUUAAACAGUACGUGAAAUUGUUGAAAGGGAAACGAUUGAAGUCAGUCAUACCAACGGGAAAUCAACCUCUUGAGUUUGGUCUCGUGGGUUUCGAAGAGUUUAAAAGCCUUCGGAUUUUCGAGAUUGGGCUCUUCUGGUGUACUUUCUCGUACGGUUAGUCAACAUCGGUUUUGAAUGUCAUAAAAUGACUGGAGGAAUGUGGCUUCGAUCUCGUAUUGAAGUGUUAUAACCUUUGGUAGAUGUGAUGUUUGAGACCGAGGAUUGCAACGGAUACCCUUCUGGGCUAUUCGUCUGAUCUCUGAAACGUUGCCUUGAUGUCGAAAGCUUGCUUAUGAUGUUAGGGUAUUACGGUCAAAAGGUUAGAACGGAUUAAAUUCGUUAAGGAUGUUGACGAAAUUGUUUCCUCCGA